ACCUAGGUGCUUGCAUCUUGAUUUAAUUUUGAACGAGUGGCGGACGGGUGAGUAACACGUGGGUAACCUGCCCUUAAGUGGGGGAUAACAUUUGGAAACAGAUGCUAAUACCGCAUAAAUCCAAGAACCGCAUGGUUCUUGGCUGAAAGAUGGCGUAAGCUAUCGCUUUUGGAUGGACCCGCGGCGUAUUAGCUAGUUGGUGAGGUAACGGCUCACCAAGGCAAUGAUACGUAGCCGAACUGAGAGGUUGAUCGGCCACAUUGGGACUGAGACACGGCCCAAACUCCUACGGGAGGCAGCAGUAGGGAAUCUUCCACAAUGGACGCAAGUCUGAUGGAGCAACGCCGCGUGAGUGAAGAAGGCUUUCGGGUCGUAAAACUCUGUUGUUGGAGAAGAAUGGUCGGCAGAGUAACUGUUGUCGGCGUGACGGUAUCCAACCAGAAAGCCACGGCUAACUACGUGCCAGCAGCCGCGGUAAUACGUAGGUGGCAAGCGUUAUCCGGAUUUAUUGGGCGUAAAGCGAGCGCAGGCGGUUUUUUAAGUCUGAUGUGAAAGCCCUCGGCUUAACCGAGGAAGUGCAUCGGAAACUGGGAAACUUGAGUGCAGAAGAGGACAGUGGAACUCCAUGUGUAGCGGUGAAAUGCGUAGAUAUAUGGAAGAACACCAGUGGCGAAGGCGGCUGUCUGGUCUGUAACUGACGCUGAGGCUCGAAAGCAUGGGUAGCGAACAGGAUUAGAUACCCUGGUAGUCCAUGCCGUAAACGAUGAAUGCUAGGUGUUGGAGGGUUUCCGCCCUUCAGUGCCGCAGCUAACGCAUUAAGCAUUCCGCCUGGGGAGUACGACCGCAAGGUUGAAACUCAAAGGAAUUGACGGGGGCCCGCACAAGCGGUGGAGCAUGUGGUUUAAUUCGAAGCAACGCGAAGAACCUUACCAGGUCUUGACAUCUUUUGAUCACCUGAGAGAUCAGGUUUCCCCUUCGGGGGCAAAAUGACAGGUGGUGCAUGGUUGUCGUCAGCUCGUGUCGUGAGAUGUUGGGUUAAGUCCCGCAACGAGCGCAACCCUUAUGACUAGUUGCCAGCAUUUAGUUGGGCACUCUAGUAAGACUGCCGGUGACAAACCGGAGGAAGGUGGGGAUGACGUCAAAUCAUCAUGCCCCUUAUGACCUGGGCUACACACGUGCUACAAUGGAUGGUACAACGAGUUGCGAGACCGCGAGGUCAAGCUAAUCUCUUAAAGCCAUUCUCAGUUCGGACUGUAGGCUGCAACUCGCCUACACGAAGUCGGAAUCGCUAGUAAUCGCGGAUCAGCACGCCGCGGUGAAUACGUUCCCGGGCCUUGUACACACCGCCCGUCACACCAUGAGAGUUUGUAACACCCGAAGCCGG
RNAcentral lists this ribosomal RNA (1384 nucleotides) under Lacticaseibacillus rhamnosus. RNAcentral describes it as "bacterial SSU rRNA". It matches the Rfam family "Bacterial small subunit ribosomal RNA", at positions 70 to 1430 of the family's 1533-position model. Lineage: Bacteria; Bacillati; Bacillota; Bacilli; Lactobacillales; Lactobacillaceae. The record is from RNAcentral.